GGAAGCCCGAGCCCGAGUCAGAUAGGCGGUCGGCCCACUUGGCGGCUGGGUGGGUUAAAAGGGGUAGGAUCCGGCACCAUCGCUGCCGUGUUGGAGAUCGAGAGAAGGAAACCCUAGCCGCCGCCGUCCAGAUCUGCUUGGGUUGGUGGAGGUAUGGCUACGGCGCUGCGCACCAUGGCCGCGAAGCUGAUGCAGAAGAUCCCCGCCGCUGUCCAGCGGGUUCGCGUCUCUUCUCGUGCUCCGGCACCGGCUUUUGCCGACCUCGACCCCUUCGGCCCAGAGUUUCGCCGGGCACUGGAGAAGAUUGUAGAGAAACACAGGAAGAGGCGCAGGAACGAGGCCUUGGCCUGUGGUGCUGGCUUCAGUCUUGGAGCACUCACCUUUUUGCUUGGGGUCCAUCGGCUUCGUUGAAGGGAGAUGGCUCAAUGGUGAAUGACUGGAAUAUCUAUCCUGCACCGCAUGUUCUACUAUCUACUACUGUGCCCGCAAGUUCUACUAUCUACUAGUGCUAUAUCCUGCACCCCAUAUGUUCUGCUAUCUACCAGUACUAUAUCCUGUAUGUUUAACUAGCCGGUGUACUCUAUAAUUCCUGGCUUGUGUCUACCUAUCUAGUAGCCACUGUGGGGAUCUAAUUUCGGUGGUUGCAUGUGGGAUGUAAGAGCACUCUAUCGCCACUCUUAUCUGUUGUUAUCAGAGAUCUAUAUUCAGCCGUGUUGUUAAUC
Long non-coding RNA from Triticum aestivum (bread wheat), 722 nucleotides. RefSeq lists it as uncharacterized. NCBI's taxonomy places the organism in Eukaryota, Viridiplantae, Streptophyta, Magnoliopsida, Poales, Poaceae. The record is from RefSeq and is a predicted model, not a curated record. The transcript is spliced from 3 exons.